UGGGUUGUGGCUCAGAGGUAGAGCGCUCGCCUAGCACGUGGGAAGCCCUGGGUUUGAUCCUCAGUACUACAU
Non-coding RNA from Ictidomys tridecemlineatus (thirteen-lined ground squirrel), 72 nucleotides. The record is from Rfam. NCBI's taxonomy places the organism in Eukaryota, Metazoa, Chordata, Mammalia, Rodentia, Sciuridae.